Molecule: unclassified non-coding RNA, 169 nt
Filed under: uncultured Ascomycota
Lineage: Eukaryota; Fungi; Ascomycota
Description: sequence contains ITS1
Source: RNAcentral
UGGUAGAGCGCGACCGGCCCGCCGGUCGACGCGACACCCCCUGUGUACCCACCCGGUUGCUUCGGCGGGACUGCCCCAUGCGGCCGCUGCCCCCGGGCGGCGCGCGCCCGCCGGAAGACCCCAAACCCUGGCUUUUGCGGUGACGUCCGAGCCACAUGACAAAUAGUCA